UUUUCCACUCCCCACUCUUGCUUAAGUUACCUUAAAUUUUAUAAAACUCAUACACAAUGAACAGAACCACAAUGCAGAGAUCAAUUUCGGGCAGUGAAUCAUUUAUUGUUCUAGAGUUAUGUCCCUUUUUUACUUGGUAAAUUUUUAUUGCGAAGCUUGAGUGUCCUCAGACACGUUCCUCUUAAUCUUUUAUUAUUUAGGCACCACUUACUUUAUUUUUUCUUGGAAUAUUGUCAAACAGCUGAAGCUUUUUCAUUUCAUAAUAAAAAAAAAAAACAGUAUCCCCUACAAUGUUUAUGCCCCACCUACGAUAGUAGAGGGGCAUUAUGUUUUCUGGUCUGUGCCUCCGUUCGUCCGUCCGUACAGGUUAAAGUUUUUGGUCAAGGUAGUUUUUGAAGAAGUUGAAGUCCAAUCAACUUAAAACUUAAUACACUUGUUCCCCAUGAUAUGAUCUUUCUAAUUUUAAUGCCAAAUUAUAGUUUUCACCCCAAUUUCAUGGUCCACUGAACAUAGAAAAUGAUAGUGCGAAGUUCAGGUUAAAGUUUUUGGUCAAGGUAGUUUUUGAUGAAGUUAAAGUUACAUCAACUUGAAACUUAGUACACAUGUUCCCUAUGAUAUGAUCUUUCUAAUUUUAAUUCCAAAUUAAAGUUUUGACCCCAAUUUCACGGUCCACUGACCAUAGAAAAUGAUAGUGCGAGUGGGGCAUUCGUGUACUAUUGACACAUUCUUGUUAAACUUAUUUCACUGAUGUAUAGAUUUUUUUAGUCAACAUUUACAUGUAACUAGUUUUAUUUUUAUACAUCUGCAAAAAAUUUAAAAUAUUUGGUCGUAUAUUGGUAUCAUGUUUUAUUGAUGCCAGCAUCUUCAGAAGACAGAUGGUUUCCGGAUAAUAUCUUUUUACCUUUUCUACCUGAUAAAAGGCUGUAUAAUUUCAAUCAAUUGUACAUUUCGUUGAGGC
This 958-nucleotide long non-coding RNA is filed under the name Mytilus galloprovincialis (Mediterranean mussel). The record is from RNAcentral. Lineage: Eukaryota; Metazoa; Mollusca; Bivalvia; Mytilida; Mytilidae.